RNAcentral lists this ribosomal RNA (251 nucleotides) under uncultured bacterium. RNAcentral's name for it is "partial 16S ribosomal RNA". It matches the Rfam family "Bacterial small subunit ribosomal RNA", at positions 103 to 354 of the family's 1533-position model. The record is from RNAcentral.
CUGGUGAGUAACGCGUGAGGAACCUGCCUUCCAGAGGGGGACAACAGUUGGAAACGACUGCUAAUACCGCAUGACACAUGGCCGUGGCAUCACGGACAUGUCAAAGAUUUAUCGCUGGAAGAUGGCCUCGCGUCUGAUUAGCUAGUAGGCGGGGUAACGGCCCACCAAGGCGACGAUGUCUAGGGGUUCUGAGAGGAAGGUCCCCCACACUGGUACUGAGACACGGACCAGACUCCUACGGAAGGCAGCAG